AAAAUCCAUUGAAACGAACUAAAACUCCGCCGUCCGCCCGUCCCCGCCCUUUUCCUUCUCUUCUCCCACUCUCACUAUACCCAUUUCUCGAGAUCUCGGCGAAACCCUAGUGAAACCCCCGCCGUGGGGGCACCAAGACGCCGCAAUGCUGCACGAGCUCCUCCUCGCGCUGCUCGGCUUCACCGGCGACUUCGUCCUCGACGUCUCUCUGCCGCGGCGCCGCGCCGCCUCCCAGGACGCCGGCGAGGAUGGAAACGGAGACGGUGAGGUGGGCCCCUCCUUCCGCCUCGCGCCGGACCUCACCUUCCUCCAGCCAUCAGAGAGGACUGCUAUUGAGAGGCUCAUAUCUCUGGGAUUUUACUACAGAGAACUGAAUCGCUUUGCAACCGAGUCCCGCGACCUGAGCUGGAUUCAGUCUUCUAUAGAUGUUUCAUCACCUCAUUCUGAUAAUACCCAGAAGGGGAAAGUGAGAAAAGGGAGUGUGUACAGGAGGGCAAUUGCCAAUGGUAUCACUGAGAUUCUGUCAGUAUACAGAUCAGCUGUUCUGCAGGUUGAGCAAAACCUUUUAUCAGAUCCGUUGCCUAUCCUCGCGACAGUAACUCACGGGUUGAACAAGUUUGAAGUCCUUCUGCCUCCACUGUAUGAGCUUGUUAUGGAAAUCCAGCAUAAAGACAUCAAGGGUGGCCAGCUUCUUAAUCUUUUGCACAAACGGUGCCAUUGUGGGGUUCCAGAACUGCAAAGCUGCAUUCAGAGGCUACUUUGGCAUGGACACCAGGUCAUGUUCAACCAGCUGACAUCUUGGAUGGUUUAUGGGAUUCUUCAAGAUCAGUACAGCGAGUUUUUCAUUAGAAGGCAAGAUGACAGGGAUGUGGAGAAUGAAUCAUCUCAGCGUGAUGUUUCUGAUAAGUUAAAGCAGAAAUUAGCUAAAGACACAUCCCUGGCUAGUUGGCAUACGGGAUUUCAUGUAUCAUUGGACAUGUUGCCUGAGUAUAUCCACAUGCGAAUUGCAGAGUCCAUUCUCUUCGCUGGCAAAGCAAUAAGGGUGCUUCGAAAUCCAAGUCCUAGUGCUACAUUGCAGGAUCCUGUAAUCAGAACUGUAGGAUCUCAUGGAAUGCAAAGCUCUGUAGGAGGUUCUGGUGUACCAAAAGAACUGGCAAACUUCUCUAACAUCAGAGCAGAAGAACUACUGCCACAAGCAGAAGCUGAUAAAAUUGAUUCUAUGCUCAAGGAGCUAAAGCAUUCUUCUGAAUUUCACAAACGACCUUUUGAGUCUGCUGUCGGCUCAAUACGUACAAUUGCAGCUAAUCAUCUCUGGCAGCUAGUGGUGGUACGUGCUGAUCUCAACGGUCAUUUGAAGGCAUUGAAAGAUUAUUUUCUUUUAGCAAAAGGUGACUUUUUCCAGUGUUUUCUUGAGGAAAGCCGCCAAUUAAUGCGGUUACCACCUCGUCAAUCUACAGCCGAAGCAGAUCUCAUGAUUCCAUUUCAGCUGGCUGCACUGAAGACUAUCGGUGAGGAAGACAAGUACUUUACCAGAGUCUCAUUAAGGAUGCUAUCAUAUGGUAUGAAAAGUAGCACGUCUCAGAAAGAUCUCCAAAAGCCUAAUGCUUCAGAGCUUCCUUCACAAGGAAAAGCUGCAUCAGAAUUGACACUUGAUGGGUGGGAUAGUAUUGCUCUGGAAUAUUCUAUUGACUGGCCUCUGCAGCUCUUCUUCACUCCUGAUGUUCUGUCCAAGUAUCGCAAGGUUUUUCAGUAUCUCAUCCGAUUGAAGAGGACACAAAUGGAACUUGAGAAAUCCUGGGCAGCUGUAAUGCAUAAAGACCAUGCUGAUUUUUCUGAUUAUUGCAAGGAUCGGAAAAAUAACUCUGCAACACAACUGCGUCGACAACGGUCUAAGCCUUUGUGGCGAGUAAGGGAGCAUAUGGCAUUCUUGAUCAGAAACCUACAAUUUUACAUCCAGGUUGAUGUAAUUGAGUCACAGUGGAAUGUUUUACAAUCUCACGUGCAAGAUUCACAUGAUUUUACAGAGCUAGUGAGCUUUCAUCAAGAGUAAGCAACAAAUAUUUGUCAGCGCUGGUUUCCCAAUCCUUCUUGGACAUCGGAUCAGUCUCUAGGAUACUGGAUAGCAUAAUGAAGCUUUGCUUGCAGUUCUGCUGGAGCAUAGAGCAAUAUGAAACUCGGCCAAAUAUUUCUGAGAUUGAUCACAUAACUGAGGAGUUCAACAAGAAGUCCAAUUCGCUGUACACUAUCUUGAGGAGUAGUCGCCUCGCGGGUAGUCAGAGAGCACCUUUCCUGAGGCAAUUUCUGAUGAGGCUAAAUUUUAACUCUUUCUUUGAGACCACCGCAAGGGGAGUGAUGAAUUCAGGAAGGCUGCGACCAAUCACUGCAGGUGCUCAGCUGUAACGGUGAUGGUAUGUUUGGGGGUAGUGCUGCAGCAAGAGACAAGGGAGGAGUUUCUGUAGUUUAUGUAAAUUAUGAUCGGAUGGUGGUUGUCUGUCAUGGAAAAAUCGAUUGCAGGUGAUUCAUGCUUGUGCCGUUGGUAUUGUGUUUUUCUGUGCUUCCGUUUGUUAAUGCUAUCCAGUUCCUGUGGCCUGAA
Molecule: RNA transcript, 2593 nt
Organism: Zea mays
Lineage: Eukaryota; Viridiplantae; Streptophyta; Magnoliopsida; Poales; Poaceae
Gene name: Gamma-tubulin complex component 4
Exons: 16
Source: RefSeq, marked provisional